RNAcentral lists this long non-coding RNA (624 nucleotides) under Carica papaya (papaya). RNAcentral's name for it is "long non-coding RNA (CPAP_LNC000552)". Lineage: Eukaryota; Viridiplantae; Streptophyta; Magnoliopsida; Brassicales; Caricaceae. The record is from RNAcentral.
UGCCGUGAGAGAGAAGGAAGUGGUGUGUGUGGAGUCUGAGAGUGCCGUGAGGGAGAAAGAGGUUGGCGGUGUGUGUGGAGUCUGAGAGUGCCGAGAGAGAGAAACAAGUUGGCGGGGUGUGUGGUGUCCGAGAGUGAGGUAAUGGUGGGGGUGAGUAGGGGCCGGGAGUGAGAGAGGGGUUGGUGGAGUGAGUGGAGGCCGAGAGAGAAGUAGAGGUGUGGAGUGAGUGGAGGCAGAGCGAGAAGUAGAGGUGUGGAGUGAGUGGAGGCCGGGAGGGAGCAAGAUGUGUGAGGUAGUGAGUUAUGUGGGAGGGAACGGGGUUGUGUGUGCCACACGGGGGAGGAGAGAGAAAGAGGUAGUGGCGGUGAGUAUGAAGUCCGAGAGAGAGAGAUCGGGAGAUGAAGCGAGUGAAAGUCGAUGUUGGUAAUGGGGUAGAAAGAUCAGAGUGUGUGUGUGUGGCCCGAUAGGGGUCGGUAGGUGGACGAUGGUCGCCGAGGUUGGUGACGAACGUGAAUGAAAAUGGUGUGCGUUCGCGGCCUGGUAGAGGUCUAGAGGUAGCCAAUGGUCGCCGAUGUUGGCGACGGAAGAGAAUGAAAAGGGUGUGUGUGUGGCCUGUUAGGGGUC